ACGGAGGGAGCUAGCGUUGUUCGGAAUUACUGGGCGUAAAGCGCACGUAGGCGGCUUUGUAAGUCAGGGGUGAAAGCCUGGAGCUCAACUCCAGAACUGCCUUUGAGACUGCAUCGCUUGAAUCCGGGAGAGGUGAGUGGAAUUCCGAGUGUAGAGGUGAAAUUCGUAGAUAUUCGGAAGAACACCAGUGGCGAAGGCGGCUCACUGGACCGGUAUUGACGCUGAGGUGCGAAAGCGUGGGGAGCAAACAGG
This 252-nucleotide ribosomal RNA is filed under the name uncultured bacterium. RNAcentral's name for it is "partial 16S ribosomal RNA". It matches the Rfam family "Bacterial small subunit ribosomal RNA", at positions 525 to 776 of the family's 1533-position model. The record is from RNAcentral.